Molecule: long non-coding RNA, 248 nt
Filed under: Salvia miltiorrhiza (redroot sage)
Lineage: Eukaryota; Viridiplantae; Streptophyta; Magnoliopsida; Lamiales; Lamiaceae
Description: long non-coding RNA (SMIL_LNC003033)
Source: RNAcentral
UGGGAAGUUGGUGCUAAAUAUAUAUUUUGCAAUGUAUAGGUCAUUGCAAUUUGCAAUAUUGGUGGAUGUCAUUGAGUAUCUAUACGCAUAGUCAAGAAUGACUAGAAGAUUGAGUUAUAUAACUAUACGUUUUGUUUGAAAACUAAACUAUUUUGAUAUUAAUUUGAAUUGAUUUGUGGUGGAUUAUAAUAUUUGAUGAUUGGAUGAUAAUUUUAUAUGAUUAUCAUAUUUAAUGGUGCGAUCAAAAU